GCCAGUGGUGGUGCCAGAGAAUGAGCCAUCCGCUGCAACGUCUUGCUCGGCUUCCGCGUUACAGCAACCGUCUGCGGGAUUCAAAAUCCCGUAUCCUUUACUGGGUGUGUGGGUUCGACUCCCACCUUCGGCA
RNAcentral lists this transfer RNA (133 nucleotides) under Planctomycetaceae bacterium. Its description in RNAcentral is "tRNA-OTHER". Lineage: Bacteria; Pseudomonadati; Planctomycetota; Planctomycetia; Planctomycetales; Planctomycetaceae. The record is from RNAcentral.